RNAcentral lists this transfer RNA (72 nucleotides) under Patescibacteria group bacterium. Its description in RNAcentral is "tRNA-Glu". It matches the Rfam family "tRNA". Rfam says of the family: Transfer RNA (tRNA) molecules are approximately 80 nucleotides in length. Their secondary structure includes four short double-helical elements and three loops (D, anti-codon, and T loops). The record is from RNAcentral.
GACCCCAUCGUCUAAUGGUUAGGACACUAGGUUUUCAUCCUAGCAAUCGGAGUUCGACUCUCCGUGGGGUCG